This 536-nucleotide ribosomal RNA is filed under the name Steindachnerina elegans. Its description in RNAcentral is "partial small subunit ribosomal RNA". It matches the Rfam family "Bacterial small subunit ribosomal RNA", at positions 657 to 1402 of the family's 1533-position model. Lineage: Eukaryota; Metazoa; Chordata; Actinopteri; Characiformes; Curimatidae. The record is from RNAcentral.
UAAAGCCGAAGAUCCCCCAAGCCGUCACACGCACCCCGGAGACACGAAGCCCUAAUACGAAGGUAGCUUUAUUAACACCCCCGACGCCACGAAAGCUAAGAAACAAACUGGGAUUAGAUACCCCACUAUGCUUAGCCUUAAACUCAGAUGCUAAUAUUACAAAUGCAUCCGCCAGGGUACUACAAGCGCUAGCUUAAAACCCAAAGGACUUGACGGUGUCUCAGACCCACCUAGAGGAGCCUGUUCUAGAACCGAUAAUCCCCGUUAAACCUCACCACCCCUUGCUUAUUCCCGCCUAUAUACCGCCGUCGUAAGCUUACCCUGUGAAGGACUUAUAGUAAGCAAAAUGGGCAAACCCCAAAACGUCAGGUCGAGGUGUAGCUUACGAGGUGGAAAGAAAUGGGCUACAUUUUCUGCAACAGAAUAUCACGAACGACACCAUGAAACUAGUGUCUGAAGGUGGAUUUAGUAGUAAAAAACAAACAGAGCGUGUUUUUGAACCAGGCUCUGAGACGCGCACACACCGCCCGUCACUC